RNAcentral lists this transfer RNA (74 nucleotides) under Synura petersenii. RNAcentral's name for it is "partial tRNA-Met". It matches the Rfam family "tRNA". From Rfam's summary of the family: Transfer RNA (tRNA) molecules are approximately 80 nucleotides in length. Their secondary structure includes four short double-helical elements and three loops (D, anti-codon, and T loops). Further hydrogen bonds mediate the characteristic L-shaped molecular structure. tRNAs have two regions of fundamental functional importance: the anti-codon, which is responsible for specific mRNA codon recognition, and the 3' end, to which the tRNAs corresponding amino acid is attached (by aminoacyl-tRNA synthetases). tRNAs cope with the degeneracy of the genetic code in two manners: having more than one tRNA (with a specific anti-codon) for a particular amino acid; and 'wobble' base-pairing, i.e. permitting non-standard base-pairing at the 3rd anti-codon position. Lineage: Eukaryota; Synurophyceae; Synurales; Mallomonadaceae. The record is from RNAcentral.
UGAUACAAUAGCUUAAUAGGUAAAGCACCGAAAUCAUAAUUCGUUUUAUAUAGGUUCAAUUCCUGUUUGUUUAA